CCUACGGGCGGCAGCAGUGGGGAAUAUUGCGCAAUGGGCGAAAGCCUGACGCAGCGACGCCGCGUGAGGGAUGAAGGUUUUCGGAUCGUAAACCUCUGUUAGCAGGGAAGAACGGUCACUGUGCUAAUCAGCAGUGAAUUGACGGUACCUGCAAAGGAAGCACCGGCUAACUCCGUGCCAGCAGCCGCGGUAAUACGGAGGGUGGGAGCGUUAAUCGGAUUUACUGGGGGUAAAGUGCGCGUAGGCGGUAGGGCAAGUCAAGGGUGAAAUCCCCGUGCCAAACUGGGGAACUGCCUUUGAAACUGGCUAUCUGGAGUGUGUGAGAGGAUAGUGGAAUUCCGGGUGUAGGGGUGAAAUCCGUAGAUAUCUGGAGGAACAUCAGUGGCGAAGGCGACUAUCUGGCACAUAACUGACGCUGAGGAGCGAAAGCGUGGGUAGCAAACAGGAUUAGAUACCCCAGUAGUC
This 465-nucleotide ribosomal RNA is filed under the name uncultured bacterium. RNAcentral's name for it is "partial 16S ribosomal RNA". It matches the Rfam family "Bacterial small subunit ribosomal RNA", at positions 338 to 795 of the family's 1533-position model. The record is from RNAcentral.